CACGUAGGGAGCAAGCGUUGUCCGGAUUUAUUGGGCGUAAAGAGCUCGUAGGUGGUUCGGUAAGUCAGGUGUGAAACCUCCAGGCUCAACCUGGAGACGCCACUUGAUACUGCUGUGACUGGAGUCCGGUAGGGGAGCGUGGAAUUCCUGGUGUAGCGGUGAAAUGCGCAGAUAUCAGGAGGAACACCAGCGGCGAAGGCGGCACUCUGGGCCGGUACUGACGCUCAGGAGCGAAAGCGUGGGGAGCAAACAGG
RNAcentral lists this ribosomal RNA (254 nucleotides) under uncultured bacterium. RNAcentral describes it as "partial 16S ribosomal RNA". It matches the Rfam family "Bacterial small subunit ribosomal RNA", at positions 524 to 776 of the family's 1533-position model. The record is from RNAcentral.